AACGAACGCUGGCGGCAUGCCUAACACAUGCAAGUCGAACGAGACCUUCGGGUCUAGUGGCGCACGGGUGCGUAACGCGUCGGAACCUGCCCUUAGGUUCGGAAUAACUCCCCGAAAGGGGUGCUAAUACCGGAUAAUGUCUUCGGACCAAAGAUUUAUCGCCUUUGGAUGGGCCCGCGUUGGAUUAGCUAUUUGGUAGGGUAAAAGCCUACCAAGGCGACGAUCCAUAGCUGGUCUGAGAGGAUGAUCAGCCACACUGGGACUGGGACACGGCCCAGACUCCUACGGGAGGCAGCAGUGGGGAAUAUUGGACGAUGGGCGAAAGCCUGAUCCAGCAAUGCCGCGUGAGUGAUGAAGGCCUUAGGGUUGUAAAGCACUUUUACCCGGGAUGAUAAUGACAGUACCGGGAGAAUAAGCUCCGGCUAACUCCGUG
Molecule: ribosomal RNA, 433 nt
Filed under: uncultured bacterium
Lineage: Bacteria
Description: partial 16S ribosomal RNA
Rfam family: Bacterial small subunit ribosomal RNA
Source: RNAcentral